UGGGGAAUUUUGGACAAUGGGCGAAAGCCUGAUCCAGCAAUGCCGCGUGUGUGAAGAAGGCCUUCGGGUUGUAAAGCACUUUUGUCCGGAAAGAAAUCCUUGGCUCUAAUACAGUCGGGGGAUGACGGUACCGGAAGAAUAAGCACCGGCUAACUACGUGCCAGCAGCCGCGGUAAUACGUAGGGUGCAAGCGUUAAUCGGAAUUACUGGGCGUAAAGCGUGCGCAGGCGGUUUGCUAAGACCGAUGUGAAAUCCCCGGGCUCAACCUGGGAACUGCAUGGUGACUGGCAGGCUAGAGUAUGGCAGAGGGGGGUAGAAUUCCACGUGUAGCAGUGAAAUGCGUAGAGAUGUGGAGGAAUACCGAUGGCGAAGGCAGCCCCCUGGGCCAAUACUGACGCUCAUGCACGAAAGCGUGGGGAGCAAACAGGAUUAGAUACCCUGGUAGUCCACGCCCUAAACGAUGUCAACUAGUUGUUGGGGAUUCAUUUCCUUAGUAACGUAGCUAACGCGUGAAGUUGACCGCCUGGGGAGUACGGUCGCAAGAUU
RNAcentral lists this ribosomal RNA (546 nucleotides) under uncultured bacterium. RNAcentral's name for it is "partial 16S ribosomal RNA". It matches the Rfam family "Bacterial small subunit ribosomal RNA", at positions 355 to 895 of the family's 1533-position model. The record is from RNAcentral.